GGCCACUCUGGUGGCUUAAGUGGUUAGAGUAUCCAUCUCAGAUGCAGGAGGUUGUGGGUUCGAAUCCCAGCUGAGUCA
Potamilus streckersoni is the source of this 78-nucleotide non-coding RNA. NCBI's taxonomy places the organism in Eukaryota, Metazoa, Mollusca, Bivalvia, Unionida, Unionidae. The record is from the annotation of a GenBank genome assembly.